CAUUAAAUGACUGAAAAAGUAUUGAUUUUUUAAAUCAAAGCAUAAUAGAUUAAAUUACUAUUUUUAAUGA
Molecule: transfer RNA, 70 nt
Filed under: Myrmica scabrinodis
Lineage: Eukaryota; Metazoa; Arthropoda; Insecta; Hymenoptera; Formicidae
Description: transfer RNA-Lys
Source: RNAcentral